Molecule: transfer RNA, 76 nt
Filed under: Alosa alosa (allis shad)
Lineage: Eukaryota; Metazoa; Chordata; Actinopteri; Clupeiformes; Clupeidae
Description: tRNA-OTHER
Source: RNAcentral
GCAGCCGUGGCCUACUGGUUAGGGCUUCGGGCUUGAAACCAAAGGGGGUUGCCGGUUCGAUCCCCGACCAGUAGAA